RNAcentral lists this ribosomal RNA (450 nucleotides) under uncultured Glomus. RNAcentral's name for it is "SSU rRNA". It matches the Rfam family "Eukaryotic small subunit ribosomal RNA", at positions 569 to 1024 of the family's 1831-position model. Lineage: Eukaryota; Fungi; Glomeromycota; Glomeromycetes; Glomerales; Glomeraceae. The record is from RNAcentral.
AGCAGCCGCGGUAAUUCCAGCUCCAAUAGCGUAUAUUAAAGUUGUUGCAGUUAAAAAGCUCGUAGUUGAAUUUCGGGGUUAGCAGGUUGGUCGUGCCAAUGGUAUGCACUGGCCUUGCUGAUUCCUCCCUCUUGUAGAACCGUAAUGCCAUUAAGUUGGUGUUGCGGGGAAACAGGACUGUUACUUUGAAAAAUUAGAGUGUUUAAAGCAGGCUAACGCUUGAAUACAUUAGCAUGGAAUAAUGAAAUAGGACGAUCGAUCCUAUUUUGUUGGUUUCUAGGAUUGACGUAAUGAUUAAUAGGGAUAGUUGGGGGCAUUAGUAUUCAAUUGUCAGAGGUGAAAUUCUUGGAUUUAUUGAAGACUAACUACUGCGAAAGCAUUUGCCAAGGAUGUUUUCAUUAAUCAAGAACGAAAGUUAGGGGAUCGAAGACGAUCAGAUACCGUCGUAGU